This 242-nucleotide ribosomal RNA is filed under the name uncultured bacterium. Its description in RNAcentral is "partial 16S ribosomal RNA". It matches the Rfam family "Bacterial small subunit ribosomal RNA", at positions 524 to 765 of the family's 1533-position model. The record is from RNAcentral.
UACAGAGGGUGCGAGCGUUGUUCGGAAUUAUUGGGCGUAAAGGGCGCGUAGGCGGUGCGGUAAGUCACCUGUGAAAUCUCCUGGCUCAACUGGGAGUCUGCAGGCGAAACUGCCGUGCUGGAGUGUGGGAGAGGUGAGUGGAAUUCCGAGGUGUAGCGGUGAAAUGCGUAGAUAUCUGGAGGACACCGGUGGCGAAGGCGGCAUCCUGGACCGGUAUUGACGCUGAGGCGCGAAAGCCAGGG